UUGGAGGGCAAGUCUGGUGCCAGCAGCCGCGGUAAUUCCAGCUCCAAUAGCGUAUAUUAAAGUUGCUGCAGUUAAAAAGCUCGUAGUUGAAUUUCGGGACCAAUAUGUCGGUCGUGCCUCGGUACGUACUGGCAUCGUUGGUUUCUCCCUUCUGACGAACCACGAUGUCAUUAAUUUGGUGUCGUGGGAAAUCAGGACUGUUACUUUGAAAAAAUUAGAGUGUUUAAAGCAGGCAUUCGCUUGAGUACAUUAGCAUGGAAUAAUGAAAUAGGACGUUUGAUCUUAUUUUGUUGGUUUCUAAGAUCGACGUAAUGAUUAAUAGGGAUAGUUGGGGGCAUUAGUAUUCAAUUGUCAGAGGUGAAAUUCUUGGAUUUAUUGAAGACUAACUACUGCGAAAGCAUUUGCCAAGGAUGGUUUCAUUAAUCAAGAACGAAAGUUAGGGGAUCGAAGACGAUCAGAUACCGUCGUAGUCUUAACCAUAAACUAUGCCGACUAGGGAUCGGAUGAUGUUAAUUUUUUAAUGACUCAUUCGGCGCCUUACGGGAAAC
RNAcentral lists this ribosomal RNA (548 nucleotides) under Glomus sp. Its description in RNAcentral is "SSU rRNA". It matches the Rfam family "Eukaryotic small subunit ribosomal RNA", at positions 548 to 1098 of the family's 1831-position model. RNAcentral also lists the same sequence under 1 other name. Lineage: Eukaryota; Fungi; Glomeromycota; Glomeromycetes; Glomerales; Glomeraceae. The record is from RNAcentral.